GUGACCGGGCCGCUUUUGCAGACACCCCGCUCGCUCAAGGGGCUUCACUGAAGGUGGGGCGGGCAGGAAGGGGAAGGAGGGUGGGAGACGGAACUGAGGACUAGGAGGUGGGCAGAGCGGGGUGGAGAAGCCACUUCAUCGCGACGGGGGGAGGCUGGGGGAACUGCAGCCCCGUCUGCCCGGCGAAACCGCUUUAAGGCUAGAUGGCAAAGCAACAGCGGCGGCCGAGGCGCUCGGGUCGGUCGUUGUCCUCGCGCCGCGCCCUCACGAAGCGCCCCCACAGAGGCCCACCGCGCCCCUGCCCGCCUCGGCCGAGCCCGGCGCCCGCCCGCCGCGCCCACCACGCCCGCCGGCGCCGGCACAGGGGCCCGACACGAGAGACGCCGGUGGGAGCUCCGAGAGUGCUCCGGGCCGCCGCGCCCGGUGACAGCGGUCCCCGCGCCGCCUCACCUCCUGGGCGGCCGUGGCAGCGGCCCCGCAGCUCUCCUCUCCUCUCCGCCUCCGCCUCCAGCAGCCCCGCACCGCCGCCUCCUCCCCCCGCGUCUCUGGCAAGUCUCCGCCUCCCUCGGCCGCCGCCGGUCCGGCUGCGCGCCACGUGACCGCGCCACGUGACCCGGCGCGGCGAGCGGCGCCUUCCCGCUAGCCUGCCCGGACCCGCGCGCUGGCCAUUGGCGCUGCCCAGGCCGUCGGCCCUGCUCCGCCUUGCGCUGGGGUGCGGGAUACCACCCUGGCUCUUCCCCCACACCCGGCUGAGCUCACCUCUCGAGCUGCGGGGACGGGAAUGGGAGCGGCCGCCCAGCAGAGCCCCACCCCCACCCAGAGACUGCUCCCCCAGCCGCGCCGCCUCCCGCCUCGCCGCUCACUUGCGCGCGCGCACUCACACGCACACCCUCGCGCGCGCAUCCCGUAGCUCUCGCCCGCUAGACCGCGGCUGGACGGCUGUGAGGACAGUCUGAGGAAGAGUCGGCGGAACCUCGCCCACAAGAGGAACCCUUAUACCAGAUUCGUGCGCAGUCCGAACUCAGUUUGAGCCGGAAGUGGACAUCACGUCGUGUCUUAAGCUGCGAGCUUCCAGAGAGAACAGAUUUGCUUGUACUAUGGACUAGCGUGGGUCCCCAUGAAAAGUCUUUGAAGUGUUUGAUGGUGAUGAUCUCACAGAGUAUCUCUUUUCCAGUUCGUUUUAUGGAGAAACGAGCUGAUAGCGUCAUUUUAACUCACAAAAGCUGGAACUCAGCCGGCUCCCCCACCCCACCCCGUGUUCUGCUAAGAACGGAAACUUUAGUCAUCCCUUUCAUUUUCCAUCAUUACAAAGAAAUAGCGUUGCAGAUUUUGGGACUAUGCGUAUGUGUAUUUUAAACUAAAAAAUAGACAAGCAUUUUUUCCUUGAUUUGAGGCACAGUUAAGAAUAGUAGCCACUCUGCAAGUCUUUGUGGACUUACAAUUUACCAAAUGAAGACACUGAAACCCCAAGACAGUGGUGGCAAACCUAUGGCACGUGUGCUGCAGCCAGCUGUUUGUUAUCAUUCAAAGUUCUAAAAGGUUCACCAUCACUGCCAUAAGACAAAACUUUAAAAAGAG
Molecule: long non-coding RNA, 1578 nt
Organism: Heterocephalus glaber (naked mole-rat)
Lineage: Eukaryota; Metazoa; Chordata; Mammalia; Rodentia; Bathyergidae
Source: Ensembl